GUUGAACGCUGGCGGAAUGCUUUACACAUGCAAGUCGAGCGACAGCGCGGGGCAACCUGGCGGCGAGCGGCGAACGGGUGAGUAAUGCAUCGGAACAUGUCCAUGUCGUGGGGGAUAGCCCGGCGAAAGCCGGAUUAAUACCGCAUACGCUCGGGAGAGGAAAGCCGGGGACCGCAAGGCCUGGCGCGAUUGGGUUGGCCGAUGUCCGAUUAGCUAGUUGGUGAGGUAAAGGCUUACCAAGGCGAUGAUCGGUAGCUGGUCUGAGAGGAUGAUCAGCCACACUGGGACUGAGACACGGCCCAGACUCCUACGGGAGGCAGCAGUGGGGAAUUUUGGACAAUGGGGGCAACCCUGAUCCAGCCAUUCCGCGUGAGUGAAGAAGGCCUUCGGGUUGUAAAGCUCUUUUGUCCGGAGCGAAACGGGCGCGGCUAAUACCUGCGUCCACUGACGGUACCGGAAGAAUAAGCACCGGCUAACUACGUGCCAGCCGCCGCGGUAA
This 499-nucleotide ribosomal RNA is filed under the name uncultured bacterium. Its description in RNAcentral is "partial 16S ribosomal RNA". It matches the Rfam family "Bacterial small subunit ribosomal RNA", at positions 28 to 523 of the family's 1533-position model. The record is from RNAcentral.